RNAcentral lists this unclassified non-coding RNA (206 nucleotides) under Hevea brasiliensis (rubber tree). The record is from RNAcentral. Lineage: Eukaryota; Viridiplantae; Streptophyta; Magnoliopsida; Malpighiales; Euphorbiaceae.
UGAUAAGUCAAGGUAAUUUCACUAGAAACAGUAGCGAUUGAUAAGAAAUAAAAUUGACAGCUUAAAGCCACUUUGGUUAACAUUCUCCAAUUCAACUAUUACAAUGAGGAGUCUCUCCGAUUUAUCCUAUUUGUACAUUAAUACUAAAUGGGAAUAUUAACUAAUCCUACGUAUAAAAGGACUAUGAAACUAGAUAAGAAGUAAUG